AGACGUCUACAUUAGAUACCCCCGUAGUCCCAGCCGUAAACUAUGCGCGUUAGGUGUAUCGGUGACCACGAGUCACCGAGGUGCCGAAGGGAAACCGUGAAACGUGCCGCCUGGGAAGUACGGUCGCAAGGCUGAAACUUAAAGGAAUUGGCGGGGAGCACCACAACGGGUGGAGCCUGCGGUUUAAUUGGACUCAACGCCGGGAAGCUCACCGGAUAAGCCAGCGGAAUGAUUGCCGGGCUGAAGACUCUGCAUGACUAGCUG
This 264-nucleotide ribosomal RNA is filed under the name uncultured archaeon. RNAcentral describes it as "partial 16S ribosomal RNA". It matches the Rfam family "Archaeal small subunit ribosomal RNA", at positions 714 to 982 of the family's 1478-position model. The record is from RNAcentral.